UACGUAGGGGGCGAGCGUUGUCCGGAUCUAUUGGGCGUAAAGAGCGUGUAGGCGGCCAGGUAGGUCUGCUGUGAAAACUCGAGGCUCAACCUCGAGACGUCGGCGGAAACCAUCUGGCUAGAGUCCGGAAGAGGAGAGUGGAAUUCCUGGUGUAGCGGUGAAAUGCGCAGAUAUUCGCAAGAACACCAGUGGCGAAGGCGGCUCACUGGCCCGGUACUGACGCUGAGGUGCGAAAGCGUGGGGAUCAACAGGG
Molecule: ribosomal RNA, 253 nt
Filed under: uncultured bacterium
Lineage: Bacteria
Description: partial 16S ribosomal RNA
Rfam family: Bacterial small subunit ribosomal RNA
Source: RNAcentral